Molecule: ribosomal RNA, 440 nt
Filed under: uncultured bacterium
Lineage: Bacteria
Description: bacterial SSU rRNA
Rfam family: Bacterial small subunit ribosomal RNA
Source: RNAcentral
CUACGGGAGGCAGCAGUGGGGAAUCUUGGACAAUGGGGGCAACCCUGAUCCAGCGACGCCGCGUGGGUGACGAAGGCCUUCGGGUUGUAAAGCCCUUUUGUCGGGGACGAUGAUGACGGUACCCGGCGAACAAGCACCGGCUAACUCCGUGCCAGCAGCCGCGGUAAGACGGAGGGUGCUAGCGUUGUUCGGAAUUACUGGGCGUAAAGGGCGCGUAGGCGGCCAGAUCAGUCGGGUGUGAAAGCCCGGGGCUCAACCCCGGAACGGCACCCGAGACGGUUUGGCUGGAGACCGGGAGAGGAGGGUGGAAUAGCCAGUGUAGAGGUGAAAUUCGUAGAUAUUGGCUGGAACACCGGUGGCGAAAGCGGCUCUCUGGCCCGGUUCUGAUGCUGAGGCGCGAAAGCGUGGGGAGCAAACAGGAUUAGAAACCCGUGUAGUCC